CAAGCUGUUUCUGAUGCUGGUGAUUUUGCAGUCUUUCUCAGCAUGUUUCGUCCUUUCAGUGUAGCAUGUCCUGCAUUGUGCAGUAUCAGCCACUGAGGCCAUAGCACGGUCACAGCAAUCCAGGGAGAACUCGGCCCUCUGGAGAGCCUACAGGCACGACAGCUGGCCAGUGCCGCUCGGAGAGAGAACAUGGGACUGUCAUGGCUGGCACAUUGUGGAUUCUGAUAGGAAGGGAAAGGACCUUGAGUUCUGUCCUUGAAGCAUUGUCAAGUUUAUACAUGUCAGUUGCUAUAUGUGAAAUAGAAAAUAAUGAUUACAGAGGAAUGGUUGGAAAUUUAGAUUCUAAUGACUCAAAUGCCAUUUAACACUUUCAAGUAUAAUCACAGCCUUAAUAUUAAUAUGAUCCCAGGACAAAAAUAGGAAAGAAUUGUGUGGGGCAUAAUUAAAAGAAAUAUGUAAAGGAAUUGCCAUUUGAAAGAAAUUUUCCUUCAAGGGAGAAGCCAUCUGUAUCAAUCUGUUUUCCUUCCUUCCUUCCUUCCUUCCUUCCUUCCUUCCUUCCUUCCUUCCUUCCUUCCUUCCUUCCUUCCUAACUCAACAUGACCAUUUAAAAUUUUAAAUUAUUUUUUAUUAUAAAAUUAGUACAUUAUCAUUGUUGAAACUGUCAAAAUAAAAACAAGCCAAGAUGAACAUACUCCCACCGUUCAGAGGCAAUUGCCACUGGCCUUUUUGUGUACAUUCUCCCUGUCUUUUUCUCUAUGCUGGGCUUAAUAGGACAUUGGAACUUUUUUGAAUUUUGUCUCAGUGGUCUUUACUUUUCUUCUCCUCUGUGUUUGGGAGCUUGAUAACCAUAGCACAGACACAUUAUUUCACUCUGGAUCUUGGAUAGCUAAAUGUAAAAUUAUUCUCUGGUAUUCACCCUUCUAACUUUGUGCUCCCUUGAAGUCAAAACUGUAAAGACGUUAUCACGGCUGCCCCUUUUAAUUUCCUUGUUUCCCCUGAAGUUAAAAGAUUCAUUCCUGCAGCUGACAACAGUUUUCUGAUUUAAUAAAAAGUCACCCUUGCAAAACUAGCCAACUUGCAUUUUCUCACGUUAAACCUCUACUCAUUUUUAUAAUUAAAAUCAUUUUCUUGACUUCUUAAAAUACUCCCCAUCCUUCACAUGUGCUUUUUUUUUUUUGGUAAUCUCUCGAUCUUCUGCUUAGAAGUUAAUUUUGAUAGUUUGCAGUUAAGUAAAAAGCAGAUAUAAGAAUUUACAAUGAAAAGGAAUUUGGCUUUAUAACUUGCUGACUCACUCCCACCCAGAGGUGUGGGUACACUACAGAUUUCCUGCAAAUCUCAAGGGAAAAGUAGCACAAUUGUUUAAGCCCCGUGAGAGACCAAAUGCUCAUUUUCUUUUACUUUAUAAUAGGCAAAAACAGACUUAGGGACCAAACUCCCACCUGUCAAGUGUCCUAGCUACUCGUCUGUGGUCUAGGAACCAGAAACCUGGGUAUCACCUGGGAGCUUGUUCAAAAUGCAGACUCCCAGGACCCACCCCAGAUCUCCUGAUUGCACAUCUACAGAUCUGUAUUUUUACAAGAUCCCAAGGGGUUCUCAUGCGCAUGAAAGUCUGAGAUGCUCUUGGCUAAGAGCCAUGGAAAAUGGGAGCUGGGCGCACAUAUUAAUGAAAAACAGCCGACAUAAAGUAAUACACCAGAUUUUAGAAAUCAGUAAUUGAACCAAAUAGCUACACUGAGGAAACCUAUUUUCUUUGGAAUUAUGUCCAGGAGAGAGAAUUAACACCUCAGACUUAUGUUCAUAUGGAAAGUAAUGUGUAGGACAGGGUAAUCGAUCUUUUAAAAAUUUCCAGCAUAUUUGCUGUAGAUGGUGUUCGAAUGUGGUAGAACCUGGGCAAGGAAUGGGGAAGAAGUGGAGAGAUCUGUGUGUCACUUCCGUAUAAUGGAAGGGCUUUUUCCAUUCCUGGAUGUUUUACAAGUUUUAACUUUGUUUAGGGAGUCAGUGCCCCCUUGGACUUGAGUUUGGGUCUGAGUUGAGCUACUACCCUUUUUCUGACAGGAGGGAAUCGGAUCCUUUGGGUUCCUCUGACCGUGUGUUUUUUGUUGUGAGCUUGGUGAGGUGGCAGCCCUCCAGGGCUAUGUGUGGUGGGCGAGAGGCCGCAGUGCCCUCCUGGGGGCACAGAAGCUUGGGGAAGGUUUCAGAUGAUACUGGUUAGGGAGAGAAAAGGAGAAAGAUGACAAAAAGACAUGCUGAAGGAGCCCUGCGGCUGUGAGGCCUGACAGGAAUUUCCUCGGGUGUUUAAAUGUAGUCUCCUGAGCUCCCCCUCAGAAUCUGGAUCAGAAUCUCUAGAGGUAGAGUGCAGGAAUCUGCUUGUUUAACAAGUUCCUUGGGGUGAUUCUGAGGCACCCUAGAAAAAUGGAAUACCUCUGCUCUGGAAUGAAAGCCAAAGCACCUUCAACCACUAAUUUGAACAAGAAGGUAGGCAGGGCGACAAGGCAUCCUGGGACAUAGGACUUUCAUGUGAAAAUCGGGGCAAAGCAGGAAUGCUUGGUCCUGCCAUAAAUUCUUUUCAUCUAAGGACAUUCAUCCCUAUUUUUAUGGGUUUUUUGGCUUCCUUUGUUUAGUUUUUCAAUUUUAAGAAUUGCUUUAGAAUACAGAAAUGAACAAAGAAGAAAUGUCAGCUGUCAUCACCACACCCAGAGAUAUCUACUAUUGACGCCUUGGCACAUUUACUUCCAAUCAUUUUUUAUUUUGAAUAAAAAUGAUUCAUUUGUCUUUGUAAAUGCAUCUUCAUCAUACAGAACUUUUUUAAUGUAGAAAAAGAUAGACGUUUUAAAAUGACUCCAAACCCUCUGAGAAAUAGCUAUUACUAAAUGUAGGUGACCUUAUUUUAGCAACCAUUUUAUUUGCAUAUGGAUGGAUGGAGAUACAUUUUAUUGAUCCUGAGUCAUCCUUCUUUUUUUAUUUUUGAGAUCAAAAAUCUUUGAAAUUGGUAUGUUAUCUUCUAGUCCAUGGCAUCUGUGCAUUGUAUCCUAGUUAAAUUGGCAGUGAUUUUCUUUCUUAGUGGUACAUCUGACAAGAGCUACUGUCUCACGUAUUACGAAAUAAGGUACGCCAGUAGAUAGGAUCCUACUGUAACUGCCCUUUUGAAGUUUUUUUAAAAAGUACUGAGUUUCACUUUUCUUUAUUUAACAGAAGAAAAGAAGCUAAAUGAAUUACUAACAAGUUUUACUGUGAGAGAUAUUUAUUUCCUAUGAAAUAUCUCUGAGAAAAAGAAAAAAGAUUAUUAAAAAUGUUAGUAGGAGUCAUUUUGUUGGGUUUUGUGUUUUUUUAAGCUACACAUUUCAAUUAUGAGGUCGGUUGGUUGACCUUCUGCUAUGAAAGAGGAGAGUAUCUACCCACUAAUAUUUCUAGGUGAGGACUUAGGCAUACUGUUAUUUUUCCAUUUUCCAGUUUUAAAUAUUCCCAUUUGGCCCCAAGACUAUGAUUACCAUGUUGUUUGGUAUAAGUUCAAUAUUUAAAUUAGCUUACUGUCACCACCAUCCAUAGCCUGAGGAAAGGGCAGAGAAGAGAUAAAUCUCAGCUGGGGUCAUUGACAGUCUUUGGAUUCUUGGACCCAGCUUUCUCAGAGUUUGUAAAUGUCACGUUCUAGGGUCUCUGCUGCAUAAUUGGGAGAGGGUAUAAUCCAUUUCCACAGGUUUCUGAUUGCUCUUUAAUUCAGAAGCCUGCCCUCAAGACCUCACUUCCCUUAGAUAGUCAGCAUCCUUCCCUUUUCUUGAUCAACUUUAUCGAGGUACAAUUUACAUAAGAUAAAAUUCCCCCUUUUGAACUGCACAACUCAACGAAUUUUGAUAAAUGUAUAUUGUCAUGCAACCCCACCACAAUGAUGACAGAGCAUUUCCAUCACCCCCAAAAUUCCCUCAUGCCCCUUUGCAGAAAACUCCCUCCCUCACCAACCACUGACCUGAUUUCUGUCUAUAGUUUCACCUGCUCCAGAUUGUUGUAUAAAUGGGAGUUAUGUAGCAUGUAGUCUUUAUGCCUGGCCUCUUUCGUGUAACAUAAUGCUUUUGAUAUUCAUCCAAGGUAAGGUGUGUUUCAGCAAUCCAUUCCUUUUUUUUUUUUUUUUUUUU
Molecule: long non-coding RNA, 4127 nt
Organism: Neofelis nebulosa (Clouded leopard)
Lineage: Eukaryota; Metazoa; Chordata; Mammalia; Carnivora; Felidae
Exons: 2
Source: RefSeq, a predicted model, not a curated record